Molecule: ribosomal RNA, 301 nt
Filed under: uncultured bacterium
Lineage: Bacteria
Description: partial 16S ribosomal RNA
Rfam family: Bacterial small subunit ribosomal RNA
Source: RNAcentral
CAGUAGCCGCGGGAAUACGGAGGGUGCAAGCGUUAAUCGGAAUUACUGGGCGUAAAGCGCACGCAGGCGGUCUGACAAGUCAGAUGUGAAAUCCCCGGGCUUAACCUGGGAACUGCAUUUGAAACUGUCAGGCUGGAGUCUUGUAGAGGGGGGUAGAAUUCCAGGUGUAGCGGUGAAAUGCGUAGAGAUCUGGAGGAAUACCGAUGGCGAAGGCAGCCAUCUGGCCUAACACUGACGCUGAGGUACGAAAGCAUGGGGAGCAAACAGGAUUAGAUACCCGCGUAGUCCCUGUCUCUUAUAC